Molecule: unclassified non-coding RNA, 201 nt
Filed under: uncultured fungus
Lineage: Eukaryota; Fungi
Description: sequence contains ITS1, 5.8S rRNA gene
Source: RNAcentral
ACGUAUCUCUGACGGUGAGGGUGCGCCCCGCUCCGGGUCCGAAAGGCCUGUGCAGCGUGCGGGCCCGAUCCGCUCAACCCCUUACAAACCCACCGUGCACAUUUGUCGGCGGAGGGCCCGGUCAAAUGGGCCCCGAGCCGGACCCACAAACUCCAAGCAUUAAAAGAAUGACUAGCGGAUGUUGUUCCGUCUAAACUUUAA